CUGGGCGUAAGGAUGCGUAGGCGGAUGUUUAAGUGAGAUGUGAAAUACCCGAGCUUAACUUGGGUGCUGCAUUUCAAACUGGAUAUCUAGAGUGCGGGAGAGGAGAAUGGAAUUCCUAGUGUAGCGGUGAAAUGCGUAGAGAUUAGGAAGAACACCAGUGGCGAAGGCGAUUCUCUGGACCGUAACGGACGCUGAGGCAUGAAAGCGUGGGUAGCAAACAGGAUUAGAUACCCUGGUAGUCCACGCCGUAAACGAUGAGUACUAGGUGUAGGAGGGUCCAACCUUCUGUGCCGCAGUUAACACAAUAAGUACUCCGCCUGGGAAGUACGAUCGCAAGAUUAAAACUCAAAGGAAUUGACGGGGGCCCGCACAAGCAGCGGAGCAUGUGGUUUAAUUCGAAGCAACGCGAAGAACCUUACCUGGACUUGACAUCCCCUGAAUAGUGCAGAGAUGCAUGAAGCCCUUCGGGGCAGGGAGACAGGUGGUGCAUGGUUGUCGUCAGCUCGUGUCGUGAGAUGUUAGGUUAAGUCCUGCAACGAGCGCAACCCCUAUCAUUAGUUGCUACCAUUAAGUUGAGCACUCUAGUGAGACUGCCCGGGUUAACCGGGAGGAAGGUGGGGAUGACGUCAAAUCAUCAUGCCCCUUAUGUCCAGGGCUACACACGUGCUACAAUGGUGGAUACAAAGAGAUGCAAGACCGCGAGGUGGAGCCAAACUCAAAAAUCCAUCCCAGUUCGGAUUGUAGGCUGCAACUCGCCUACAUGAAGCCGGAGUUGCUAGUAAUCGCGAAUCAGAAUGUCGCGGUGAAUACGUUCCCGGCCCUUGUACACACCCCCCGUCACUCC
RNAcentral lists this ribosomal RNA (844 nucleotides) under uncultured bacterium. Its description in RNAcentral is "bacterial SSU rRNA". It matches the Rfam family "Bacterial small subunit ribosomal RNA", at positions 554 to 1403 of the family's 1533-position model. The record is from RNAcentral.